UCAUGGCUCAGGACGAACGCUGGCGGCGUGCUUAACACAUGCAAGUCGAACGGUAAGGCCCCUUCGGGGGUACACGAGUGGCGAACGGGUGAGUAACACGUGGGUAAUCUGCCCUGCACUUCGGGAUAAGCCUGGGAAACUGGGUCUAAUACCGGAUAUGAACUCCUGCCGCAUGGUGGGGGUUGGAAAGUUUUUCGGUGCAGGAUGAGCCCGCGGCCUAUCAGCUUGUUGGUGGGGUAAUGGCCUACCAAGGCGACGACGGGUAGCCGGCCUGAGAGGGUGAUCGGCCACACUGGGACUGAGACACGGCCCAGACUCCUACGGGAGGCAGCAGUGGGGAAUAUUGCACAAUGGGCGAAAGCCUGAUGCAGCGACGCCGCGUGGGGGAUGAUCGGUCUUCGGAUUGUAAACCCCUUUCAGUAGGGACGAAGCGCAAGUGACGGUACCUGCAGAAGAAGCACCGGCUAACUACGUGCCAGCAGCCGCGGUAAUACGUAGGGUGCGAGCGUUGUCCGGAAUUACCGGGCGUAAAGAGCUCGUAGGCGGUUUGUCACGUCGUCUGUGAAAUCCCUCGGCUUAACCGGGGGCGUGCAGGCGAUACGGGCAGACUUGAGUACUACAGGGGAGACUGGAAUUCCUGGUGUAGCGGUGAAAUGCGCAGAUAUCAGGAGGAACACCGGUGGCGAAGGCGGGUCUCUGGGUAGUAACUGACG
Molecule: ribosomal RNA, 713 nt
Filed under: Dietzia sp. VN3-3
Lineage: Bacteria; Bacillati; Actinomycetota; Actinomycetes; Mycobacteriales; Dietziaceae
Description: bacterial SSU rRNA
Rfam family: Bacterial small subunit ribosomal RNA
Source: RNAcentral